GACGAACGCUGGCGGCGUGCUUAACACAUGCAAGUCGAACGGAAAGGCCCUGCUUUUGUGGGGUGCUCGAGUGGCGAACGGGUGAGUAACACGUGAGUAACCUGCCCUUGACUUUGGGAUAACUUCAGGAAACUGGGGCUAAUACCGGAUAGGAGCUCCUGCUGCAUGGUGGGGGUUGGAAAGUUUCGGCGGUUGGGGAUGGACUCGCGGCUUAUCAGCUUGUUGGUGGGGUAGUGGCUUACCAAGGCUUUGACGGGUAGCCGGCCUGAGAGGGUGACCGGCCACAUUGGGACUGAGAUACGGCCCAGACUCCUACGGGAGGCAGCAGUGGGGAAUAUUGCACAAUGGGCGGAAGCCUGAUGCAGCGACGCCGCGUGCGGGAUGACGGCCUUCGGGUUGUAAACCGCUUUCGCCUGUGACGAAGCGUGAGUGACGGUAAUGGGUAAAGAAGCACCGGCUAACUACGUGCCAGCAGCCGCGGUGAUACGUAGGGUGCGAGCGUUGUCCGGAUUUAUUGGGCGUAAAGGGCUCGUAGGUGGUUGAUCGCGUCGGAAGUGUAAUCUUGGGACUUAACCCUGAGCGUGCUUUCGAUACGGGUUGACUUGAGGAAGGUAGGGGAGAAUGGAAUUCCUGGUGGAGCGGUGGAAUGCGCAGAUAUCAGGAGGAACACCAGUGGCGAAGGCGGUUCUCUGGGCCUUUCCUGACGCUGAGGAGCGAAAGCGUGGGGAGCGAACAGGCUUAGAUACCCUGGUAGUCCACGCUGUAAACGGUGGGUACUAGGUGUGGGGUCCAUUCCACGGGUUCCGUGCCGUAGCUAACGCUUUAAGUACCCCGCCUGGGGAGUACGGCCGCAAGGCUAAAACUCAAAGGAAUUGACGGGGCCCCGCACAAGCGGCGGAGCAUGCGGAUUAAUUCGAUGCAACGCGUAGAACCUUACCUGGGUUUGACAUGGAUCGGGAGCGCUCAGAGAUGGGUGUGCCUCUUUUGGGGUCGGUUCACAGGUGGUGCAUGGCUGUCGUCAGCUCGUGUCGUGAGAUGUUGGGUUAAGUCCCGCAACGAGCGCAACCCUUGUUCACUGUUGCCAGCACGUUAUGGUGGGGACUCAGUGGAGACCGCCGGGGUCAACUCGGAGGAAGGUGGGGAUGACGUCAAGUCAUCAUGCCCCUUAUGUCCAGGGCUUCACGCAUGCUACAAUGGCUGGUACAGAGAGUGGCGAGCCUGUGAGGGUGAGCGAAUCUCGGAAAGCCGGUCUCAGUUCGGAUUGGGGUCUGCAACUCGACCUCAUGAAGUCGGAGUCGCUAGUAAUCGCAGAUCAGCAACGCUGCGGUGAAUACGUUCCCGGGGCU
This 1346-nucleotide ribosomal RNA is filed under the name uncultured bacterium. RNAcentral's name for it is "bacterial SSU rRNA". It matches the Rfam family "Bacterial small subunit ribosomal RNA", at positions 28 to 1381 of the family's 1533-position model. The record is from RNAcentral.